CCCUUUAAUGAAAAGAGCCAGUAAGAUAGCAUCUGAAAAAAGAAAGACAGAUUUUAGGAACAAAGGAUUUUUUUCCUUGUGCUUUGUUUUCCCAGUCUUGAAUUAAUCACAGCUGUCUUUCCCCAGCAAAGGUUAUUUUUAUCUAGCAUGCUUUAAAUUAAAAAACAACAACAACAAAGGGAGCAAUCUGAUGUUCUUCAAGCUCCCAGAGCCCUUCCACAGAAAAAGAAGCAUUUACUCUGUGCAGCUAAGAAUCCAGCUUUUAAUUCUAUCUUUUCUUGUGUUUACAUAAACUUUCGUUUGCAUUUCAGAAGCCUUAUGGAAAGAUUCCUGUGGCUGACCCGGGAGUAGUGGUGAAUUUCUCCAUCAAUAGGAUUUUGAGAGAGAAAAAAGGUUAACUUCUGCAUAUACAUGUGCUCAGUAAGCUAUCUUGAAACAGAAGCCGGGAAUAGACAUAAAAGCAAGAUAAAAUAAUGGUACUUGAGGCUGCUAUUCUCACUUAGUACUCAUCUCAGUUUUCUAAAGACCCAUCUAAAGAUGUUCAUCUUUAAUUCAUCUGAGAAAAGGAGCAAGAAUACUUCAUGACCAUAAGAGUAAGUUGAUAUUGGCACUAGUGGUUAAGCUAUAACUUUGCUAAUUCCAAUGGCCCUGUGUAUUUUUUCUUCGCUAUUAUUCUUCACUAGGAAUCAAAAUAUAAGCAUUCUUUGUUAUUAUAGGCUUUAUCCUCUACACAGAUACGCCCUUGGAUUAAAAGACCAUGUUCUUAAAGCAGAGAAAAUACAGAUGUUUCCACUUGCCCAUUUAUAUCACUCCACACAGCAAUGAUAUUAGUCUUUUAGUAGUAUAUGCCACAUUAGCAGUCUGAGUGUUUUUGAAUCAAAGCCGAAAUUUGUAGUGCCUCUAAUGUGUAAUGAAGUUGCACAUUUUUACCAUGCAUUCACUCAAGCAUAUGGGUUUUAUAAUUGAACUCAAGAGAUUGUAUUUUGGAUUCACUUCUGCUCUAAUAAAAAUGUACACAUACCAAUGCUUCUGUCCCCAUUUGGAGACACAAUUUGAUACAGUUUGGUCAUCUGUUAUAGAGUAUAGAUAGGCUUUCAUUCUUCUGUUGAAAAAAAGAAGCCAUGAUGACUUAAUUAUGUAAAAUAGCAUUACUAAAUAGCAAAUAGUUUAUAUUAUAUCUGCAUAUGGGCAUUCUAAAAGAAAUUACAUGAUGAUAUGAAUUACCAGUGCCCAGAACAAAUAUCAUUGGAAUGAAUAUGCUUGUUUUUGAGGAGACAUGGAAUUUAAAAGCAUUGGCUUACUUCUAAUGUUAUUGUUCUUCAUCAACCAAGCUUUCAAAUAAAUGUUCACAUUUCUAUGACGGUUUAGAUUGUGGAUUUUAGGAAUGCUCAGAUUACACUCAAAAGCAAGUAUUUCCAGAUAUUGCUCAAAAGGUUACUUUUGAAAUAUGUUUUUUUAUUGCACUUGAAUAUAGUUAAAACACAUCUACCACAAAAGAAGUAGUCAGAAAAUUCAUUUAAUCUUUUUAGAGUGCUUUUAAAAUAUUUAAAUUAAAGUUAGAUCUUUGGAUAAGUUCAUACUUAAUGGUUGUCAUCUAUGUACAGUGUAGUUUCAUGGAUUAUAAUAAUGUAAGUUAAACUUACUUUUUUUGCAUUUACUCCUUUGUCCUAAUGUGGAGAUGUUUAUGUAUAUUUUUCUCACUUCAAAUCAUUCCAUUAAUGGGGGUAUUGUAAUAAUAUUUUUCUAAUCAAUUAAAAGAAAUGAAUGCUAAAAUGAUCAGAACUCUCAAAUGAACAUUUUUAACUUAAAAUUAUAUCCUAGAAAGUUGGUUUUAGGACAUUAUGAUAAUUCACUAGGAAAUGAAUACUGUAUAUAUUUGUUCUUUCAAGAUGAGAACAUAAUAAUCACUAAAAUUUAUUGGGCAUUUUCUUCUCUAAGUAUUCAUUUCAAUGAGUUAACUUACUUCUUUGUUAACUUACAUCAUCACAGUCACUUUAUAAGAGAAGUGCCAUUAUUUUUCUAAGUUUGCAAAAGAGAAAACUGAGACACAGAGAAGCUAAAUGACUAGUAAGAGGUAAAGUUGAGGUUCCAGCAUAGGAAGUCUGGCUCUCAAUGACUAACCCAUGCCAUCUUGAAAAAGUCAGCAUAGCCUUGGUACAGU
Non-coding RNA from Chlorocebus sabaeus (green monkey), 2161 nucleotides. The record is from RefSeq and is a predicted model, not a curated record. Lineage: Eukaryota; Metazoa; Chordata; Mammalia; Primates; Cercopithecidae.